ACCCAUCUGGCGAGUCCGAAAUAGGACAAAAGGCGUGUCCUGGAU
RNAcentral lists this non-coding RNA (45 nucleotides) under Schistosoma mansoni. The record is from RNAcentral. Lineage: Eukaryota; Metazoa; Platyhelminthes; Trematoda; Strigeidida; Schistosomatidae.